CAGGUUAGGUUAGAAGAAGGGAGAAGGAACAGUUUCAUUACACACCUUACUUAACCCCAAAAGGGUUCUACCUGAAACUAAAAAGGGUUCUCUUAUGGAGACAGCCGAAGAACGCUUUUGGAACCCUUUUUUCUAAGAGUGUGGUAGUAAACCGCAGGGGAUAGAGGUGAUGGGAGAAGAACAGAUGAGGGAGAUGGUGGUCUGUCAUACUGAGGGAGAAGUUGGAUGAUGCAUGCAAAGUCUGAGCAGUGGAACGCAACCUCUGCUCAAGUGUAAAAAGGUGAACCUGCCAGCAGCAUAUUCCAACUGAUUAUGACUUGGGGGCAUACACAAACACACACCUGAGCGGUCUGCCAUGUUAGUGGGUGAAUGUGUGACUCGUUUCCUUUCCUGGAGACGUCAGUCUUCUGCUGGGCUGUAAAAGGAGGUGAGGUGGUUCCGUGUUCACUAGAUCAGAGGACGGUUCACCAGGAACACGGUUGUACUGCUGCCAUCAUACAGUCUGUCUCUCUCUCACAGGAUUACCAUGGAGAGAAACGGUUUGUUUUGCAUCUUCGUCUUGUUGCUACCACUGGCCUUAGACUCUGCAGACAUACCUGUCCUUAACUCAACAAAAGACCUCAGGAACAUUGAGUUUGGCCACAGAUUCCCUCGUCAUGGCCUAAUGCUGCUACACUUCGUCUCUGGCGGCCUAAACGUCGAUAACAACGAUGCACUCAUACCAACGUUCUUACCAGAAAGGGGAGACUGGGGCUUCCAUCACUUUAAUAACUAAAACGUUUUUCCACAACUGCAAGAUCAGAACAGACAGGGUUACUACGAAGUCGGGAAUAUCAACACACCAACAGCAUACUCACUCGAUCCUUAUGUCACUCGCAGCUAUUACCUUACCCCAGGAAACUUAGAGAGGAACAUGGACAGGUUAGUUGUCAGAACAAGCCCCAACAGUCCACUGUUAGAGGCAGUCUACAUCACACAGCA
Salvelinus sp. IW2-2015 is the source of this 981-nucleotide non-coding RNA. NCBI's taxonomy places the organism in Eukaryota, Metazoa, Chordata, Actinopteri, Salmoniformes, Salmonidae. The record is from RefSeq and is a predicted model, not a curated record.